This 498-nucleotide ribosomal RNA is filed under the name uncultured bacterium. Its description in RNAcentral is "partial 16S ribosomal RNA". It matches the Rfam family "Bacterial small subunit ribosomal RNA", at positions 28 to 507 of the family's 1533-position model. The record is from RNAcentral.
GACGAACGCUGGCGGCGUGCCUAAUACAUGCAAGUCGAACGAGAGCGACCGGUGCUUGCACUGGUCAAUCUAGUGGCGAACGGGUGAGUAACACGUGGGUAACCUGCCCAUCAGAGGGGGAUAACAUCCGGAAACGGAUGCUAAAACCGCAUAGGUCUUCGAACCGCAUGGUUCGAAGAGGAAAAGAGGCGCAAGCUUCUGCUGAUGGAUGGACCCGCGGUGCAUUAGCUAGUUGGUGAGGUAACGGCUCACCAAGGCCGUGAUGCAUAGCCGACCUGAGAGGGUGAUCGGCCACAUUGGGACUGAGACACGGCCCAGACUCCUACGGGAGGCAGCAGUAGGGAAUCUUCCGCAAUGGGCGCAAGUCUGACGGAGCAACGCCGCGUGAGUGAAGAAGGUUUUCGGAUCGUAAAACUCUGUUGUUAGGGAAGAACAAGUGCUAGAGUAACUGUUAACGCCUUGACGGUAUCUAUCCAGAAAGCCACGGCUAACUACGUG